GAGCGGCGUACGGGUGCGGAACACGUGUGCAACCUGCCUUUAUCAGGGGGAUAGCCUUUCGAAAGGAAGAUUAAUACCCCAUAAUAUAUUUGUCGGCAUCGAUGGAUAUUGAAAACUCCGGUGGAUAGAGAUGGGCACGCGCAAGAUUAGAUAGUUGGUGAGGUAACGGCUCACCAAGUCUGCGAUCUUUAGGGGGCCUGAGAGGGUGAUCCCCCACACUGGUACUGAGACACGGACCAGACUCCUACGGGAGGCAGCAGUGAGGAAUAUUGGACAAUGGGUGCGAGCCUGAUCCAGCCAUCCCGCGUGAAGGACGACGGCCCUAUGGGUUGUAAACUUCUUUUGUAUAGGGAUAAACCUAGAUACGUGUAUCUAGCUGAAGGUACUAUACGAAUAAGCACCGGCUAACUCCGUGCCAGCAGCCGCGGUAAUACGGAGGGUGCAAGCGUUAUCCGGAUUUAUUGGGUUUAAAGGGUCCGUAGGCGGAUCUGUAAGUCAGUGGUGAAAUCUCACAGCUUAACUGUGAAACUGCCAUUGAUACUGCAGGUCUUGAGUGUUGUUGAAGUAGCUGGAAUAAGUAGUGUAGCGGUGAAAUGCAUAGAUAUUACUUAGAACACCAAUUGCGAAGGCAGGUUACUAAGCAACAACUGACGCUGAUGGACGAAAGCGUGGGGAGCGAACAGGAUUAGAUACCCUGGUAGUCCACGCCGUAAACGAUGCUAACUCGUUUUUGGAGCGCAAGCUUCAGAGACUAAGCGAAAGUGAUAAGUUAGCCACCUGGGGAGUACGAACGCAAGUUUGAAACUCAAAGGAAUUGACGGGGGCCCGCACAAGCGGUGGAUUAUGUGGUUUAAUUCGAUGAUACGCGAGGAACCUUACCAAGGCUUAAAUGGGAAAUGACAGGUUUAGAAAUAGACUUUUCUUCGGACAUUUUUCAAGGUGCUGCAUGGUUGUCGUCAGCUCGUGCCGUGAGGUGUUAGGUUAAGUCCUGCAACGAGCGCAACCCCUGUCACUAGUUGCCAUCAUUAAGUUGGGGACUCUAGUGAGACUGCCUACGCAAGUAGAGAGGAAGGUGGGGAUGACGUCAAAUCAUCACGGCCCUUACGCCUUGGGCCACACACGUAAUACAAUGGCCGGUACAGAGGGCAGCUACACUGCGAAGUGAUGCAAAUCUCGAAAGCCGGUCUCAGUUCGGAUUGGAGUCUGCAACUCGACUCUAUGAAGCUGGAAUCGCUAGUAAUCGCGCAUCAGCCAUGGCGCGGUGAAUACGUUCCCGGGCCUUGUACACACCGCCCGUCAAGCCAGGAAGUCUGGGGUACCUGAAG
RNAcentral lists this ribosomal RNA (1325 nucleotides) under Chryseobacterium sp. TS35. RNAcentral's name for it is "16S ribosomal RNA". It matches the Rfam family "Bacterial small subunit ribosomal RNA", at positions 93 to 1426 of the family's 1533-position model. The record is from RNAcentral. Lineage: Bacteria; Pseudomonadati; Bacteroidota; Flavobacteriia; Flavobacteriales; Weeksellaceae.